This 465-nucleotide ribosomal RNA is filed under the name uncultured bacterium. RNAcentral describes it as "partial 16S ribosomal RNA". It matches the Rfam family "Bacterial small subunit ribosomal RNA", at positions 28 to 507 of the family's 1533-position model. The record is from RNAcentral.
GACGAACGCUGGCGGCGUGCUUAACACAUGCAAGUCGAACGCUGAACCCGCUUCGGUGGGGGAUGAGUGGCGAACGGGUGAGUAACACGUGGGCAACCUGCCCCCGGCUCUGGGAUAACUCCAAGAAAUUGGGGCUAAUACCGGAUGUGACCGCUGGCCGCAUGGUCUGGUGGUGGAAAGGGUUUCCGGCUGGGGAUGGGCCCGCGGCCUAUCAGCUUGUUGGUGGGGUAGUGGCCUACCAAGGCGACGACGGGUAGCCGGCCUGAGAGGGUGACCGGCCACACUGGGACUGAGACACGGCCCAGACUCCUACGGGAGGCAGCAGUGGGGAAUAUUGCGCAAUGGGCGGAAGCCUGACGCAGCGACGCCGCGUGGGGGAUGACGGCCUUCGGGUUGUAAACCUCUUUCAGCAGGGACGAAACGCAAGAGACGGUACCUGCAGAAGAAGCACCGGCCAACUACGUG